Molecule: long non-coding RNA, 1340 nt
Organism: Gallus gallus (chicken)
Lineage: Eukaryota; Metazoa; Chordata; Aves; Galliformes; Phasianidae
Source: Ensembl
CGACUGGAAUGUUUUAAGUUUCUACUUGUGCCUGACAUAGUAGGCAGAUACAUAUGGGGUAACUGUUUCCCAGGAAACGACAGCAGGGCUCUGAAAGAAAAAGGGAGCCGUCAAAGUAAAUAAUGCUGGUGGUGAAAAUCCCCUGCAAUGUUUGUUAAAGGUGAGACUGACUUUGCUCCAAAAUAAGAAAGAACUGCUACUCACAGAGGGAAACUAGCAUGGAUUUUACUUUCUGGAACCAUGAUAUGCCUGAAGCAGCAACACAGUGGCAAUUCCAGAGGGGUAGGAGCUCUGCUACCAUGCAAUGACACUGUAAUUACAAAAUAAGGGAAAAUUAGAAGUAGUACAAGUGUGCAGAACUAGCUCUGGUUGUGAGUUGUCAAAGAAAGCAAUGUAGCUGAUCUCAAAGGAACAUGGAAAGGCAAUGACACAAAGACAACUUUGUAGCAGACUGCUGCACCUGUUGCUUGCUUGCCACCUUAGAAGUCAGAGACCUCACACUGGGACCAAUUAAAACAGAACAAGUUAAUAACUUACAGAAGAAUGAAAUAACAAGAAUACAGUCGUGUUCUUUGCCUUCUCUGGUUUGGUGCUACGUGAAGUUCACUACGAACUUAGGACUUAAAGUUUGUUCUAAGCUGCCUCCAAAUGCGUGAAUACAGGUACAGUUUCCAGAAUAACUCUUCAGAAUUACUCCUGCUUUUAUAGUUCAAAAUUUUUUCACUGUAAUGUGAGCAGGAAACAGUAUAGAACUCUUUUCACCUCCCAGAUGCCCCAGGAAGCACCAGGACUGUAUUUCUAAGUAACUUAUUUGAGAAAACUGGUGAUCUUCAAAUUUAUUUUCAGUCACAAGUUAUUCAGUGGGCAGAAAAUAUUCAAGCAUGAGAAUUUAUCUGAUGACAACAUACGUAUAGUCUGGCAACUUCAAAUGCCAAACGUUCCCAUCAGUUAAAAAAUUGAAGUUAUUCUCUGUCUCAGAACAGAUUGCCUGGCAUUGCUUAACAUCAUGAACAGCAAUUUUGCUAGUCUGUUAUGAGUUGUUAUAAGAACUGCAUUAAAAAGAUCCUUUCCAUCUUCUCCUGCAUUCUUUUUAUUAUUUCCAAACAGCCACUGCAUAGAAAAAUGCUACACUGAUGAGGAUUACUGGCCUCAUUAGACCACGAACAGUUAAGAAUAUCAGAAUAGUAUUAUUACUUAGAAAUAUCACCUACAAUUAAAAUUCUGAUCUGCUUUAAUGGAAAUUUAAAAAUUAAAACAGUUUCUAAUUUACAGAUAAUGAGUCAGUUCUUACUGACAGAAAUUUACAUUUUGCAGGUGCUGCAAAACUGUCUUCUUUUUCC